AUAUCAACAAUGAAAUCUAAAACCUCGCAUAUACAUUAGCAAUUAGAAACUCAAAACCCUAAGCAAACCCUCCUUUCUUGACCCCCACUUAAUAGGGGAGUGAAAACCAAGGUAAUUAAGAAAGAAAUAAAGAACUAGAAUUGAAAAGAGCAACGAAACUUACUUCAAUAAGUGAUCCCAAUUUCUAGCACAACAAGUCGGUCGAAGACCACUCACUCUUAUAAGCUAAGAAGCUUA
Molecule: long non-coding RNA, 237 nt
Filed under: Carica papaya (papaya)
Lineage: Eukaryota; Viridiplantae; Streptophyta; Magnoliopsida; Brassicales; Caricaceae
Description: long non-coding RNA (CPAP_LNC000901)
Source: RNAcentral